Molecule: ribosomal RNA, 27 nt
Filed under: Pseudo-nitzschia delicatissima
Lineage: Eukaryota; Bacillariophyta; Bacillariophyceae; Bacillariales; Bacillariaceae
Description: partial 28S ribosomal RNA
Source: RNAcentral
CCGGAUCUCAGAUCAAGCAAGAUGACC